This 402-nucleotide ribosomal RNA is filed under the name bacterium. RNAcentral describes it as "partial 16S ribosomal RNA". It matches the Rfam family "Bacterial small subunit ribosomal RNA", at positions 355 to 776 of the family's 1533-position model. The record is from RNAcentral.
UGGGGAAUUUUGCACAAUGGGGGAAACCCUGAUACAGCGACGCCGCGUGAUUUAGAAGGCCUUCGGGUUGUAAAAAUCUUUUCUAUGGGAAGAAAAUGACAGUACCAUAGGAAUAAGGACCGGCUAAUUACGUGCCAGCAGCCGCGGUAAUACGUAAGGUCCGAGCGUUGUACGGAAUCAUUGGGCGUAAAGGGUACGUAGGCGGGUAAGCAAGUUAGAAGUGAAAUCCUAUAGCUCAACUAUAGUAAGCUUUUAAAACUGCUCAUCUUGAGGUAUGGAAGGGAAAGUGGAAUUCCUAGUGUAGCGGUGAAAUGCGCAGAUAUUAGGAGGAAUACCGGUGGCGAAGGCGACUUUCUGGCCAUAACCUGACGCUGAGGUACGAAAGCGUGGGUAGCAAACAGG